This 343-nucleotide long non-coding RNA is filed under the name Malus domestica (apple). RNAcentral's name for it is "long non-coding RNA (MDOM_LNC017980)". Lineage: Eukaryota; Viridiplantae; Streptophyta; Magnoliopsida; Rosales; Rosaceae. The record is from RNAcentral.
GGCAGAAAUAUUAGACCCCUUCAAAGCAACGAGCUCAUAAUCUAACCUUUUGAUCUCCUUAGCCGAGGAAUAAGCUUCAGCUGCCAUAGUCUUCGCCACCUCCUUGGCAGCCUUGCUACAUCUGCAUCAUAGUAAGCAGAACAGUCAUUCUAUAUUGGGUCGUAUGCUUCGCAAAGGAACUUGGGCAAAUAACCUUUCUAACGCCAUCAACAAAAUUAGCACAAGCGUUCAUGUCUUCAAGCAGAUCUAGUCUUAACAGCACAUGGAUCUCAGUAGCCUCCCCAGAAGCAGGCUUUGUGGAUUUCUCACAGCUGGCUACGUGAGCAGUUUCUUCUUUCCCAGC